AAUCGACCCCACAUCUCCACCAGCCGCCGGGCGGGACUGGGCAAGGCUGCCAGCGCUCGCCCCCGCCCGGGCUUGGCCGGGGUCCAGGCGGGGCCACACGCCUCUCCUCUGGCCCUGUUCAGGGUCCAGCUCGCACAGCGCCUCAGCCCGCCCCCCCUCGGUCCUUCCCCGCCUCUUUAGCUGUAGCCCAGGGACAGAGAGAUGACCAAGGCUUCUCUUUCAUUACUUCUCAGUCACCGACUACCCACUCCUGCAAGCAUCGUCCCCCCGCGCGAUGACACACUAAACUUUCCUAUACAUCCAACACCAAUCUCCAACUUCAGGCUUGGAGGCAGGUACCAGGGCCUGAGAACGGGACAGCGAUUAUGAUGUCGCCGGGAAGGUACCACAGCACCUCCAUUCACAUAAACCCCGAAGCACCCCCAAUACCGCGGGCUGGAUGUCCCCCAGCGUCCUUGGCCUACACAGAUGCCAUCGCCCCAUUUUCUGCGAUAGAAACACUGAGACCAGAAGAGGGGGAAAGGCUUUUCCGAUCUGAUGACAGCUUCCAUCUGUAGGGGCGACAGAGCCUGCAGCACCUUCCCCGGGGGACAUGUCUGAAAUGAUUUACCAAAUGCAUCAUCUGUACUUGGAUAUGCAAAAUCUACAUAUGUCCUCUUGUCGGCAGCUUCCAUCAGGCAGCAUGCAAAAUUGGGACUUGCUUAUGGUCCAGACUUUAGAAGAUGAAUCAGGUUCCAUGAAGCCCAGUCUAGCUCAGUCUUGCUGUGCAACUAAGGAUAACCCCGAGUUUAUGAUCCUCCUAGCUGCACCUCCUUCCUAGGCUGAGAUCGUAAGUGUGUACUACCUUGCUUAUUUUUCUGUCUGUUUUGUGUGUUUGCAUGACUUUGUGGGAUAUGCUGGGGAUCAAACCCAAGGUUUCUGUAUGUUAGUCCAGCAUUCUCCCAACAGAGCCACACCCCCAGCCCGUACCAUUUUUCUUAAUGGCUGUCCAGAAAACCAUCAGUCCUUUUGGCAACACGAAAGGAUGCUCUUGUGCCUUUAUCUGCUCUGUGUAGUUGUGUGGACACUUCUGUUCCCUUUUGUCUCAUCACAUUCUCCCAGUUUCUCCCCUAGGUUUUCUGGGCUGUUUCAUCUUACUCUCUGGCCAGUUGGAAGAUAAUACUCUCAGUAUCUGAUUGCCCUUGAUGUUCUGAGCAGACUUCAAGUGUCGGAGCCCGGGACCUUACCCUGCUGUCCUUCCUUCACCAGUGACUCCCACGUGUGUAUCCCCGCCCAGCGGGCACUUGUGCUCCUUUGCCCAAGCUUCUCAGAGCAUUAGGCUCCUUCCCUGCCUCUGAAACUUCCUCCCUGUGGAUCCUGCCCAUUGGUAUCUCUCGAGAGGCUGGCAGAACACAGAUCCAAUUACAUCCCCCCACCUCUGCCGAAAAGCUUGCAGGGGCUCUGUGUUGUGUUUGUGUGGCUGAUAAAAAAAACUCCCAGGGAGUUCACUGGUUCUGAACAAAAGCAUACGCUGCCGAGGGUCUGGCCUGGGAGCUGGAGCAUCAGAAGCCUCCCAGCCUCGUUCUGCACCACUUUUCCUUGCCUUCUUUGCUGUCAGUCACUCCAGCUAAUCUCAGAGUUCUCAAAUAAACAAUACUCCUUCCUCAGACCUCACCUCUCUGUCCUUUCCCUGCCUGGCCUGGCUAGCUUCUUCCAGGAAUCAGUUUAUGUCACUUCCCGAGAGGAGCCUCCCUUGCGUUCACUAGACACUUGACCUAGGGGUUUUCCUUCGUGCUGCCGAUGGCAGGUGGUAACUGUACCUUCACUGUGUGAUCACCAGGAGUUGGGGGCCCCUGAGUACAGG
This is a long non-coding RNA of Alexandromys fortis (reed vole), 1843 nucleotides long. RefSeq lists it as uncharacterized. NCBI's taxonomy places the organism in Eukaryota, Metazoa, Chordata, Mammalia, Rodentia, Cricetidae. The record is from RefSeq and is a predicted model, not a curated record. The transcript is spliced from 3 exons.